RNAcentral lists this ribosomal RNA (223 nucleotides) under Klebsiella oxytoca. Its description in RNAcentral is "partial 23S ribosomal RNA". It matches the Rfam family "Bacterial large subunit ribosomal RNA", at positions 240 to 501 of the family's 2925-position model. RNAcentral also lists the same sequence under 1 other name. Lineage: Bacteria; Pseudomonadati; Pseudomonadota; Gammaproteobacteria; Enterobacterales; Enterobacteriaceae. The record is from RNAcentral.
CCAGUAGCGGCGAGCGAACGGGGAGCAGCCCGGAGUCUGAAUCAGCUUGUGUGUUAGUGGAAGCGUCUGGAAAGUCGCAGGGUACAGGGUGAUACUCCCGUACACUAAAACGCACAGGCUGUGAACUCGAAGAGUAGGGCGGGACACGUGGUAUCCUGUCUGAAUAUGGGGGGACCAUCCUCCAAGGCUAAAUACUCCUGACUGACCGAUAGUGAACCAGUAC